RNAcentral lists this ribosomal RNA (419 nucleotides) under bacterium. RNAcentral's name for it is "partial 16S ribosomal RNA". It matches the Rfam family "Bacterial small subunit ribosomal RNA", at positions 355 to 776 of the family's 1533-position model. The record is from RNAcentral.
UGGGGGAUAUUGCACAAUGGGCGCAAGCCUGAUGCAGCGACGCCGCGUGGGGGAUGAAGGCCUUCGGGUUGUAAACUUCUUUUGCUCUGAACAAGGCGCACUUUGGGGUGUGUUGAGUGUAGGGGUUGAUUAGCGCCGGCUAACUACGUGCCAGCAGCCGCGGUAAUACGUAGGGCGCGAGCGUUGUCCGGAAUUAUUGGGCGUAAAGGGCUUGUAGGUGGCUGGUUGCGUCUGUCGUGAAAGCUCAUGGCUUAACCGUGGGUUUGCGGUGGGUACGGGCUGGCUUGAGUGCAGUAGGGGAGGCUGGAAUUCCUGGUGUAGCGGUGGAAUGCGCAGAUAUCAGGAGGAAUACCGGUGGCGAAGGCGGGUCUCUGGGCUGUUACUGACACUGAGGAGCGAAAGCAUGGGGAGCGAACAGG